Molecule: long non-coding RNA, 714 nt
Organism: Ipomoea nil (Japanese morning glory)
Lineage: Eukaryota; Viridiplantae; Streptophyta; Magnoliopsida; Solanales; Convolvulaceae
Exons: 3
Source: RefSeq, a predicted model, not a curated record
UAUUCCAUCUUUUCUUUCCCAGUUUAAUUUGCUCACAUUUACAUCAACACCAAGCACCAAGAAAAAAAAACAAUUUCUGCUCUAGAAAAAGUGAAAGAGGAUGCAAAGCUUUACCAAAUCUGCAGCCCAACUUUUGCAGCAACUACUGCUGGUCAGACCUUCUUUGUUUACUUUGCAGGUACUAUACUUGUUAUUGUUUUGUCACUUUGAUGAACUGCAACUCUUCAUGUGCUUUUAGUCUUUCAUGUACUUGUGAAACUCUUCAUUUAAACCUUAAUUUCAGCCAGACUGCAUCCAGCACCCUGCACAAUCUUCAGAAAUAGCAAAGAAAGUAAAAACGCAUACAAUCAAGUGUAUACCUUUCCGAUCUAUGUAUAUGCUUCUCCUCCACUGAUAGUUCCAUUGGCUUCCACGUGAUCCGGCAAUAAAAUUUAACAAAUCCUUCACUCUUUACAAAUCUACCACUUUCUCAAGCUUGACAAUAUGCAUAAAACAAUAGAACGUAUAGUAUUUAUUCAUAGAACUUACCUUCUGGUCAAGAAAAACGACCUCUGAUUUGUGAUGAAGCUUUUUUGUCAGCAGACAUUGCGUUCCUUUGUUGAUUGGAGAAAAUUUGGCUGCCAAGAAUGAACAUUGUUCUUCAAUAUUGGAAGAGCUUUAAUCUUGACAGAGUUUGUAUUGAAUAUUGAGACUCCUUAGGGGUUGUUUGGUUCA